CUAUGAUCUAGUUAUCUCCAUAACUAGCUUAUUUUAUGGACCUAAUAAUUUAAAAAAUUUAAUUAAUGAUUUGAUAAGAAAUGAACCAGCAAGUCUUAAAUCCACCCACUGACUUUACCAAGUCACGAAAAGGACUAGACAAGCUGGUCCAUUGGAUUGUGAGUUUAAAUCCUCCCACUGACUUCAUCAAGUCAUGAAGAAGACUAGAGACAAGCUG
Molecule: long non-coding RNA, 217 nt
Filed under: Elaeis guineensis (African oil palm)
Lineage: Eukaryota; Viridiplantae; Streptophyta; Magnoliopsida; Arecales; Arecaceae
Description: long non-coding RNA (EGUI_LNC062539)
Source: RNAcentral